This 205-nucleotide small nucleolar RNA is filed under the name Tursiops truncatus (common bottlenose dolphin). RNAcentral's name for it is "Small nucleolar RNA SNORA73 family (ENSTTRG00000021990.1)". It matches the Rfam family "Small nucleolar RNA SNORA73 family". Rfam says of the family: U17 (SNORA73A and SNORA73B) also known as E1 belongs to the H/ACA class of small nucleolar RNAs (snoRNAs). Vertebrate U17 is intron-encoded and ranges in length from 200-230 nucleotides, longer than most snoRNAs. The record is from Rfam by way of RNAcentral. RNAcentral also lists the same sequence under 1 other name. Lineage: Eukaryota; Metazoa; Chordata; Mammalia; Artiodactyla; Delphinidae.
CCAAUGUGGACACCCCGGGAGGUCACUCUCCCCGGGCUCUGUCCUGGUGGCCUAUGGGAGCAUAGGGCUCUGCCCCAUGAUGUACAGUCCCUUUCCACAACGUUGGAGAUGAAGCUGGGCCUUGAGUCUGCGCCUGCAUAUUCCUACAGCUUCUCAGAGUCCUAUGGACGAUGACUGAGGAGACAAACCAUGCAGAGAGACAUCU